This is a long non-coding RNA of Oncorhynchus keta (chum salmon), 1503 nucleotides long. RefSeq lists it as uncharacterized. NCBI's taxonomy places the organism in Eukaryota, Metazoa, Chordata, Actinopteri, Salmoniformes, Salmonidae. The record is from RefSeq and is a predicted model, not a curated record. The transcript is spliced from 3 exons.
AUUGAAAUCGCAGGUCGCGCAGUUUGGGCACAACCCACAAAGGUCAAGGAGCGCGCUCCACUGUCCUCCUUUAUUUAUUUACUAAGCAUGAUAACACAUCAGUCCAGACAGACAGAAGUACCCGCUUGAGAGAGAAAUUUGCAGAAGAGGACUAAAGUGGGUACCUGAUCGCGUUUCACUCCAUUGCAGUGGCUUGGCAGGAGAAAACAGUCGUGCCCGUCUUGUUUGCAGUCUCUGCUUGUUCCACCUUGAAGGACACCUGACCCUGUCAUCCUGCAGAUGUAAGGAACUUGUUGUGAACCUCCCAGCCACCAGGAUAAUCCCCAUAUCCAAGGAUUUUAUUAAGGACUGUGCAAUAUCACAAUGUUAGGACUGGAUUCACCAGCUAUUGUUUAUCAUGCAGAUUUGUCUGAACAUCGUAAUUUAUGAAACUCAUUCUUAAAUACAGACAUGAAUUUCUGUCCCAGGGAAUAGCACUAUGUGCACAUCUUCAAUUUAGAUCACAAUGAUUUAAAUGAGGUGUUUAGUAAAGGGCUGGAACAGAAACGUGUAAACUCCUGUCCUGUGUAUAAAAACAAUCCUGUGGUGGUCAUGACAAAAUCAUGUAGUGAACAAUCUAUUGAACGUUGGAGGUUAAUCUCUUGGAGAUGUCACUCACGUGGGAAUGUGUCACUCACGUGGGAAUGUGUCACUCACGUGGGAAUGUGUCACUCACGUGGGAAUGUGUCACUCACGUGGGAAUGUGUCACUCACGUGGGAAUGUGUCACUCACGUGGGAAUGUGUCACUCACGUGGGAAUGACUUAUUUUCUACAAUGGACUGUGUAUUAAGGACUCGUGCACAGGUACAGAAACAACUAUAAAAGUGUAACAUUUAUUCCAAAUUGCAAGUGAUGCCUUCACGUGUUUUGGUUUUGAGAAAUCAACAGAAGAAAGGCAUCAAUAAUAUUCCCAUGCUGUAUUCAUUUAAUUGAAUAUAUAUCCUAUUUGAUAUGCAUUUAAAUAUACUGAACACAAAUAUAAACACCUCAUGCAACAAUUUCAACAACUUUAUUGAGUUACAGUUCAUAUAAGGAAAUCAGUCAAUUGAAAGACAAUUAUUUUAGCCCUCAUCUAUGGAUUUUACAUGACUGGGAAUACAAAUGCGCAUCUGUUGGUCACAUAUACACUAUAUAUACACACAAAAGCAUGUGGACACCCCUUCACAUUAGUGGAUUUAUCCACAUCCGUUGCUGAGAGGUGUAUUCAGUGCAUUCAGGAAAGGAUUCAGACCCCUUCACAUUAGUGGAUUUAUCCACAUCCGUUGCUGAGAGGUGUAUACAGUGCAUUCAGGAAAGGAUUCAGACCCCUUGACAUUAGUGGAUUUAUCCACAUCCGUUGCUGAGAGGUGUAUACAGUGCAUUCAGGAAAGGAUUCAGACCCCUUGACAUUAGUGGAUUUAUCCACAUCCGUUGCUGAGAGGUGUAUACAGUGCAUUCAGGAAAGGAUUCAGACCCCUUCACAU